GUUUCUCAUUAUACAGACUGCAAACCUGUAAAAGCACUAGUGCGAGAAUCU
This 51-nucleotide transfer RNA is filed under the name Sphaeroma terebrans. RNAcentral describes it as "tRNA-Cys". The record is from RNAcentral. Lineage: Eukaryota; Metazoa; Arthropoda; Malacostraca; Isopoda; Sphaeromatidae.